This is a non-coding RNA of Glossina morsitans morsitans, 72 nucleotides long. NCBI's taxonomy places the organism in Eukaryota, Metazoa, Arthropoda, Insecta, Diptera, Glossinidae. The record is from Rfam.
GCCCAGCUAGCUCAGUCGGCAGAGCAUGGAACUCUGAAUCUCAGGGCGUGGGUCAAAGCCACGCGCUGGUCC